UUAACACAUGCAAGUCGAACGGUAACAUUGGAGCUUGCUCCAGAUGACGAGUGGCGGACGGGUGAGUAAUGCAUAGGAAAUUGCCGAUUAGUGGGGGACAACAUGUGGAAACGCAUGCUAAUACCGCAUACGCCCUACGGGGGAAAGGUGGCCAAUCCUUGGAAGCUACCGCUAAUUGAUGUGCCUAUGUCUGAUUAGCUAGUUGGUGGGGUAAUGGCCCACCAAGGCGACGAUCAGUAGCUGGUCUGAGAGGAUGAUCAGCCACACUGGGACUGAGACACGGCCCAGACUCCUACGGGAGGCAGCAGUGGGGAAUAUUGGACAAUGGGGGCAACCCUGAUCCAGCAAUACCGCGUGUGUGAAGAAGGCUCGAGGGUCGUAAAGCACUUUCAAUAGUGAAGAUUGGAAUACAGGUUAAUACCCUGUGUUUUUGACGUUAACUAUACAAGAAGCACCGGCUAACUCAGUGCCAGCAGCCGCGGUAAUACUGAGGGUGCAAGCGUUAAUCGGAAUUACUGGGCGUAAAGCGCGCGUAGGCGGUAAGUUAAGUUGGAUGUGAAAUCCCUGGGCUCAACCUAGGAACUGCAUUCAAAACUGGCUCACUAGAGUAUGGUAGAGGUAAGUGGAAUUCCAGGUGUAGCGGUGAAAUGCGUAGAUAUCUGGAGGAACAUCAGUGGCGAAGGCGACUUACUGGGCCAAUACUGACGCUGAGGUGCGAAAGCAUGGGUAGCAAACGGGAUUAGAUACCCCGGUAGUCCAUGCCGUAAACGAUGUCAACUAGCCGUUGGGCCCGUUAGGGUUUAGUGGCGCAGCUAACGCAUUAAGUUGACCGCCUGGGGAGUAC
Molecule: ribosomal RNA, 844 nt
Filed under: uncultured bacterium
Lineage: Bacteria
Description: bacterial SSU rRNA
Rfam family: Bacterial small subunit ribosomal RNA
Source: RNAcentral